Xyrichtys novacula (pearly razorfish) is the source of this 22250-nucleotide non-coding RNA. The record is from the annotation of a GenBank genome assembly. NCBI's taxonomy places the organism in Eukaryota, Metazoa, Chordata, Actinopteri, Labriformes, Labridae.
GCAUAGUUCAGUCAGCUAUUGAGGGGCCUAAUCCCACAUGUUGUCUACUGGAGUCAAUUUCCACUUGAUAGUAAGAAGCAUGUAUGCAUCUGUGAAGAAAGUAAGUGGAAUUGCAUUAUCAUUAGAUGGAUAAUUUGCAUAUAUUUACGUUAUUUGGCCUAAAUUAUGAUUUAUUUCUUUCACCAUGACUUAUUUGUGUAAGCCAUGGCUUAUUAAUGCUAGCUACAGUUUAUGUGCGGUAUAGCUACAUGUUAUGUAUCAGAUAUUGGUAAGUUUAAAUCCACCUCAUCCUACUGACAUUCAUCUUAUUGAAAGGUCAUCAGUAGUGCACUUUUUUUUACCAUCUUUGAGAAGCCAUCAAGAAGAGUACAUUUUGACUCAAUCUCACUGGGACUGCAGCCAGAGGCCACAUUUACCCCUAAAUCAAACUGGAAGUACAUCCUAAGUUCAUAUAUAUAUAUAUAUAUAUAUAUAUAUAUAUAUAUAUAUAUAUAUUUAUUUAUUUUUUUACAUGAGUCUCAUUUGAAUUGCCUCCAGGGAGCACAAUUUUAACUUUAUCUCAUUGUAUUUGCAUCUGAAAGGCACUUUUUUUGCCCACACUCCCAAGCAGUGCAUCCAGAGGACACAUUUUUUACCAGUUAACCUCCCAGAUGAUACUUUCAUCUGUCUUAUAAGUGGGUAGUGGCCAUGUCUAAUUUUGUUAUCCAAGAGAGGAGCCUUCCUGUUGGGUUAUCACAUUUCCCUUGGUUUACGUCCAACAACUCUUUGAUCACACUGAUUUGAAAUGUUCAAUAUUGAACAUAAUUAAUCUUUACCAUUGGAAAUCCUGUUGUAUUGGAGGGAGCCUCUAAGGACAGCUGAGCACACACUCUGUGGACUGUCUUGUAGUGUGAAAUAUUGGCUAGAAAGAAGGCAAGCUGACUGACAAAGGAAACACAACAAAUGUGGUCUUUGUGACAAUAUCAACAUUAAACUAGAUGGAAAUCUGCGCUAACGGACCAAGUUGAUGAUAUGUGGAAGCAUCACAAAUUUUAAAACACCAUAUUCUGUGAAACCUUAGAUGAUCAAGCUGACAAGGAGAGGAGUCAUACAGGUAUCUAAGCAACCGGUGCUGUUGCUUGACAGCUGUCCUAUUGUUCGGCCUGUUUGUUUACUCUAAAGUCACGUUUAGCCCUGAGAGAUUUUUGUGAUAAUUUUUCUGAGAGAUUUUCUGAGAAAAGAGGCUCUAAUUGUUGCUGACAGGAAACUGUUAGUUUGAGGUGUGUCUUCUUGGUCAUGUAUUGUUGGUCUACUUUAUUGCAAAUGAUCAAUAAUCUAUUUUACAAGAUUUAGAAAAGGGUGUUUACUGUGCAGUCUCUUUGGUGAUUAGACUCCAUCGUCAUAUCUUCAAAUGAGUGAUGGGGUAAUGAUAUUCCCUAACUCCUUUCCUCUCAUGCAGGGUAGGAUGGCAGGUGGACAUCUACAGAUUUACACCUGGAGACUGGUGAUAACGUGUGGAGGUGACUGAGGUGGUGGAGGGUUGCAGUAGAAAUGCUGAAACACCAAACUGAAGGAGAAGUGAGUCCUUUGAAAACUUGUCCUUUGCAAGUUUUAAUCCAGUCUCUCCAAAUUUGCAAACCCUUGACCACCAUUUUAAGUGAUUACUAAAGUUGGUCCCUUAUUCAAGAGCUGCUUAAUGGAUGCUUUUGAUCCUUCUGAGAGCAUUUCUGGUCUGAUUUUUGAGCAAUCUGAGCAGAUUAAAGGAUAAGUCCGAUUGAAAAAGAUCCCUGAGAUGAAAUAAGUUGAACAGAAAUUCAUUCUUUUCGUCCUCUUGAUGAAGUUACACUUAAAAAAAAACAUGGAAAACACUCAAAAUAAUGCAUUAACCUCCCUUAUAUAUUACUAUUGAGCUGCCUGCCUUACUUGAGAAGGCUGAGCAUGUUAUGUAUCCUUCAACAUCUUCAGAAACUUGCUGCAGAUACUAGUCUCCACUAGUUCUUUUUUUGCUAUGAUCACUGGAAAGGAAGCAGGGAGAGAAGGGAAGAAAAAACUUCCUAGUAAUUAUGCAGAGUUGUUUUUUAUGUGCAUUUUAUAGGUCUUAUGAGUGAUGCAUGAAUUUCCCAAAGGAUCAAUUAUCUAUCUAUCUAUCUAUCUAUCUAUUUUUGGAAAAAGCACUUUGAAGUAAGCUACAAUCAUAACGACAGUUUCACGGUACAUCAAAGCUCUAUUGCAUAUUUGCAAAAAGUAAUGACACUCUUAAGACAUUUAAUUCACUGUUUAAAAUCUUGUUUUUCUCCCAGCUGUAUUGUGCCACAAAAUGAGUGGUUGUUUUGUCUUGGUUUGAGCCAAAGUGGUCAAAAUAUGAAAAUGCGUUUCCACAAAUCAUGUUAUAACAGUAACAACCACAAAAUGACAUCCUUGUGAAAAGGCAAAAUCAAAAACAAAUACGCAUCUCAAAACAGUGAAAAAUCCUGUCCACUGUAGACUAUAUUGUAAGUUCUUAGUGUCAUGGACUUCCUGUUUGUCUUGUUGGUCUAUCAAGAGAUGCUUUACAAACAGUACCUGAUGUUUUCUUUUGCAAUGUACAAGAGAAAAACAAUCUCUUUAAUUAAAUUUAUUAUUACUUCCACCUGACAGGUCCUCAAAAGGUUUACAGUGGUAGACAUCACUUAAAGACUAAAACCCACAGGAUCUGUGUUGAGUGCGUUCUGUUAGCGUUGCGUCUCUGCUCAAUUAGACAACAGGCUUGAUAUUCCACAAGAUCCAUGUUGAAGCGUGGCAGCAGCAUAACACAGCCCCGAUCAGCUGGGCUCAAUUAAUCGAAGACAACAUGUUCACACAACUUUUUUUUUUACCUUUCUGUGGUUGAUUUUCUGCUCAUUUAAAUUCUAUUCCAACUGUUGACGGUUGGGCUUCUAUACUGUAUGUGAAAAAACAAUGUGAUUUUAAAGUUUUGGUUUUUGCAGGUUUAUAUAUGUUUAGUAAAUUAUGUUCCUUUGUGCUGUGCUGUAACUGGAGACAGAGUUAGCAGCUAAAAGCCUUUUGGGAUAUAUAUAUAUAUAUAUAUGUGUGUAUAUAUGUAUAUUUAUAUAUAUAUAUAUAUAUAUAUAUAUAUAUAUAUAUAUAUACUCACCGGCCACUUUAUUAGGUACACCUGUCCAACUGCUCGUUAACACUUAAUUUCUAAUCAGCCAAUCACAUGGCGGCAACUUAGUGCAUUUAGGCAUGUAGACAUGGUCAAGACAAUCUCCCGCAGUUCAAACCGAGCAUCAGUAUGGGGAAGAAAGGUGAUUUGAGUGACUUUGAACGUGGCAUGGUUGUUGGUGCCAGAAGGGCUGGUCUGAGUAUUUCAGAAACUGCUGAUCUACUGGGAUUUUCACGCACAACCAUCUCUAGGGUUUACAGAGAAUGGUCCGAAAAAGAAAAAAUAUCCAGUGAGCGGCAGUUCUGUGGGCGGAAAUGCCUUGUUGAUGCCAGAGGUCAGAGGAGAAUGGCCAGACUGGUUCAAGCUGAUAGAAAGGCAACAGUGACUCAAAUAACCACCCGUUACAACCAAGGUAGGCAGAAGAGCAUCUCUGAACGCACAGUACGUUGAACUUUGAGGCAGAUGGGCUACAGCAGCAGAAGACCACGCCGGGUGCCACUCCUUUCAGCUAAGAACAGGAAACUGAGGCUACAAUUUGCACAAGCUCAUCGAAAUUGGACAAUAGAAGAUUGGAAAAACGUUGCCUGGUCUGAUGAGUCUCGAUUUCUGCUGCGACAUUCGGAUGGUAGGGUCAGAAUUUGGCGUCAACAACAUGAAAGCAUGGAUCCAUCCUGCCUUGUAUCAACGGUUCAGGCUGGUGGUGGUGGUGUCAUGGUGUGGGGAAUAUUUUCUUGGCACUCUUUGGGCCCCUUGGUACCAAUUGAGUAUUGUUGCAACGCCACAGCCUACCUGAGUAUUGUUGCUGACCAUGUCCAUCCCUUUAUGACCACAAUGUACCCAACUUCUGAUGGCUACUUUCAGCAGGAUAAUGCGCCAUGUCAUAAAGCUGGAAUCAUCUCAGACUGGUUUCUUGAACAUGACAAUGAGUUCACUGUACUCAAAUGGCCUCCACAGUCACCAGAUCUCAAUCCAAUAGAGCAUCUUUGGGAUGUGGUGGAACGGGAGAUUCGCAUCAUGGAUGUGCAGCCGACAAAUCUGCGGCAACUGUGUGAUGCCAUCAUGUCAAUAUGGACCAAGCUCUCUUAGGAAUGCUUCCAGCACCUUGUUGAAUCUAUGCCACGAAGAAUUGAGGCAGUUCUGAAGGCAAAAGGGGGUCCAACCCGUUACUAGCAUGGUGUACCUAAUAAAGUGGCCGGUGAGUGUAUAUAUAUAUACAUAUAUAUGUAUACACAUAUGUAUGUAUACACAUAUAUACAUAUAUACACAUAUAUAUAUAUAUACACAUAUAUUAUAUAUAUAUAUAUAUAUAUAUAUAUGUGUAUAUAUGUAUAUAUGUGUAUAUAUGUAUAUAUGUGUAUAUAUGUAUAUAUAUAUAUGUAUAUAUGUAUAUGUAUAUAUGUGUAUAUAUGUAUAUGUAUAUAUAUGUAUAUAUAUGUAUAUGUGUAUAUAUGUAUAUAUAUGUGUAUAUAUGUAUAUAUAUGUAUAUGUAUAUAUAUAUAUAUAUGUAUGUAUAUAUAUAUGUGUAUAUAUAUGUAUAUAUACCAGCAUGAUUACACAACCGUUUGCUCAUACCAGCAUCAUGCAAUUAGGGAAUUAAGUCCUUGAUAGUAACACUCUUUCCCUGUAAUCUACAUGACAACACAUGAUAAUGAAGCCAAUAUAUCCACCGUUUUGAGAGGUUUUAUUCUCUUCUCUAUGAGUUAUUUUACAUAAGCACAAAGCCCAGACUUCAAACUGAUCUAUGACAGAUAUUGCAGCCAUGCGUCACACUUCUAUGACAAACGUCUUAUGAUAUGACAAGCUCUUAUUUUGUCGAGCAGCUCAAAUGACCUGUCGUUGAGUCUUAUAGAAUGACUGGAAAACAUCGGCUGAAUGGAGUUGGUUAUGUAAAGUGGAUUAUUAUUGUUUUGCUUGGUUUUGACAGCAGGCGUUUGGCUCCUCUUUGUGAAGGCAGUGAGGCAUGAGAGGGAAAAAACUGCAUGGAAGUGGGACAGUUGGUGACUGAGUCUGCACAUUUUGCUCGCUUUGGUUUGAUUUGCCUUUGAGUCUUUCAAAUGUGACAGGGUCAAUCCUCGCAUUGACAGAACAUAAAAGCAAAAGCGGGUCAUAAAUACAGCAGACCUUCAGUUUUGAAAACAAAGAGGGGAAUACAGGUACAGUACAGCUCUCCUCUUUAUUAGCCUUACAGGCUGUUCUUCAGAUGGAGAGAGAAAGAGAGAGAGGAAAUAUAGGAUUUCAUAACCUAAUAAACCUCAGAGGGGAAAUCAAUAAGGUGGCUCGCCCUGCAAAGGCUCCUUCUACAAAUUUAUAGACCACAGCAGCAAUCAAUGUCCUGAGUUUAUAACCUGUUAAGACUUUGAACAGAAGGGAUCUGAGAAAUGUCAGUUAGCAUUAUGGCAUAUUCAGAAAUAUUUAUCCAAAUUAACAAUUAGCAUCCGAACAGCAGAGCAGAAGGACCUCUGUGUGAUGUUUCCAACUCUGGGUAACAGAUAGCCCUCCUGGGGGUGUGGCUCAUCAUUUAGCAACACUGUCAUGCAUGUUAAUUUUAAUCUGAAAUGCCCAUCCUGCUUAUCGUCCUGCUCAACGUUUUUCUCUCCCUCGUUCAGCUACUGUCACCUCUCUUGAUUGCUGGCAUAGAUUCGGAAAAGGCUUUUACAGAGAUGGCAGAAAAUUAUUUCCCUGUCAUGUUAUUUUUCUGUUGCGGGAAUGCGUUUGACAUCGGCAGCUCUCAGCCACCCACGAGGCCACUCCGCAGCCUAAUUCAUCGUUUUUUAUGUGACGUCACACACUAUUCACUGUGCCAUCUUAAGGACCAACCUGGGACUAGAUAUCAGAAAAGGCUGUCUGCUAUGCUGUGCAUGAGGGAGUAUAUGAACUAAUCAAAUAUGUAUAUUUAUGCAUGAAAAAGUAAAACUUUCUAUAAUUUCGCUCUAAGUUCAGCCUGUAUUUUAUUCUUAGGGGAACAUCAGAUAAGCAGCCAGCUACAUGAGCUAAGAGAAGGAAAGUGGAGCAUCUUGUAGAGCCAUACUAAAGUAUAGGUUUCAGAAAUAUCUGAAUGCCCAAUCUUUUAUCACAUCAACCGAGCACUAUCAUAGGUAUCAGGAUUUUGACUUGAUUGUGCCAGAAACUGAGUCGGUCACAAAGUAGGACCAAGAGCCAGUCCAUUCAUGCUUCUGUAACAGCGGUUUCUCUUCAGCUGUUGAGUUUAACUUCACAUUAUCAUCCAUCUUUCAUUGACUAACCCAGCUCUCAUGAAAGAAUUACUGCACCCUUAUUAAUAUAUGACUUCAAUGUUGUGAGAUUUUUUUUUUCUUUUUUUCAACAUAUUUGACUUUUUCUCUCUCCCUUUUUAAAUUCUCUAUGUGGCCACAAUUGCUUUUUACACCCAUGUGUAAAUAUGCCUUUUUUAUUUAAGUGGUGGCUCAGAACCAGAAGCGAUGCCUCCCAGUUGAGAUCGCUGCUUCAAACCUCUGACCAGACUUCAUCUUUCGGUCCUUCUUUCUUCUCACAGCACUCAUAGUAGCCCGAACUGUGCCCUGAGGGGAUGCAGUGGAGGAGGCCCACAAAUGGAAAUACCUGAAGUACAGUAAUCCGGCAGCUGAUGCUGGACAUCAUGGCUGGAAAACUUAGGUACAGUCCAGUUUUGGUUGGCUAAAGAGGCUUUGUGAGGAAGUGAGCCGCCAGGCAAGAUUUUGAGGUGUCCAGGACAAGCCCCACAGCAAGCUGUUAAAGUCCUCUGCAGUGCUGCUGCACAGGCCAGCUGCUGGCUCUUGAUCAAGAGGAAUGAUACCUGGUUCCCAAGCCAGCAACCAUGAAUAGAGGCAAAUUAAGGGGGACACCUGAGAUACUAGGUGUUUCCAAUGAGCCCCCUGGAGGAGUUGUGGGUCUGUCUUGGAACACCUGCAAGAGGGUGGCCAUCUGAUGACCCCAAUAUAGCUUUAAUCUCCCUCCCUCAACACCCUACAUGGCACCCUUUGGAAAACCAAUAAUGGAGAUGAUCAUCCCCACUCACAAACUAGGUUAGAGCAGGUUACAGUGGAUUGUACCUCACGGUCCAAUUCUGGAACUUUUUUUUUUUUUAAACUUUGUCUUACAGCUGCAGUAAGACAUGAGGACCCUCCUUUCCUCCUGCACUGUGGCUGAGGAUUUGCCAGGGUUACACCAAAGAACUGCUUCACCUGCCAUCCUUUAUGCAUAUGACCCAUGAAAAGCAGUAAAUAGCAACUACAACAACUAACCCCAUUUUUGGUAGCAGGUCUAGUUUUAAAGCUAGUACAACACCGGUGAAUCUGUUGUACCAAAUCUCUUGAUAUCAGAUAUAUGAGUCACUAAAGGAAGAAGACUAAUAUAACUGCAGAGACUGUUUUUUACCAUGAGCUUUACUGACCUGUGUUCACUUUUUUUUGUGAAAGCCACAAGCCAAACAUCUCAGCUGGAUGAUGAGAGACCUCACAUUUUUUUCCAGCUGAAACUUUUUACUUACAUUUUACUUAAAAUACCGUGCAAACCAAAAGUAUAUUUCAUUUCAUGCUCCUCAAGGACCUCUUCUCCUGUAGGUCUCCUGCUACUACAACCCGGUUCUGCAAUUUUAAAACCUCAUCACUGACUUAUCAGUUCUGCUUUUGAUUCCAUUGGGUCCAUGGAAGUAACAUUACACUUUGAGAGUGAUUUAAUGGUGCACACUUAUUAAUAAAUUGUCUAAUAAUAUUCUUGGGAAAAGAAACUUGAAUUGGCAGCGAAAAGGUGUGAAGCUAUAAAAAGAAGGCUUCUGGUGGUCAGUUGCUUGUGGUAAUAGCUGAAUAUGUGAAGAGAUCCGUUUGACCAAAGAUGAAGAGAGGAACACAAUAAUACUAUUGACCUAUCGCUAAGCUCCGACCCCCUUAGUUACUGUUGCUAACUCUGACAAACAACUGGAGCUGAGCAGUGCUUUACAAUGGCCACUGCCGGUGUCAAAACACUACCCCAAGAGGGUCUUGUCAAAUUCUGGGCACAGGAAGACGUGAUUUCUUCAAUGUCAAUAAUUUAAAUUUAGAUGUGGUGGGUGAGAACACAGUUAAAUUGGAGGCGAGGGUGUACAGAUCCCGAUGUGAGCGGGAGAAGCCUCAUCUCAACAUCCAAGACCAAAACUGUUAGUGUACCACAGGGUAUUAAAUGAAUUUACCUUAAAUUAUUCAAACUAAUCUGGAGAGGCACUGAGUGUUACAGUCACUCAGCUACUGUGCUAACCUGGGCUAAUAGUAGCGUUAGCUUGUUUCCCAGAGAUGAAAGCUCUGUUAUUACAUCGUUAAUGACGAUUAAAUAACUGUAGGUAAACUUGUUGGGAUAACUUGCCUUAGAACAAACGUAGACAUCCUUGUUGAUCUUCUGAACAUUUAGUUGGCUGUGUGGUCUGCCACACAACUUAAUAGCAGACAUUUUCUUUUUUUGGUUUUUGAAAUGAAAUGAAAUACACCCCAUUGCCCAUCCUGUCGGGAUACCUUAUGUUGGUAUUACAUCUACCCCGUGCACCCCCUUUUUUAAUGUUUAUUUCUGUUAUAUUAAAAUUCAUUCCAUAAAACAGAUGAAAAUUACAACUUCUAAUGCUUCUCUAUGGAGCUAAAAGCUACAGAUGUUCGAGUUCUGGUUCCGGUGCUAUUGACUCAUCUGCAUUUGAAGGGCAAGGCUUAGCAAUAGGUCAAUUAUGUAUUUUUGUUUGCACAGCAAUCUACAAUAGACAUGACAGAAGGAGUUAUGACCCGUGUAACUUUCUAACACAAACUUUAAUUGACUUGUAAUUAUCUACUUUAUUGCUGCUGAUUUAUUUUUAUGAGUUUGAUGCUUUCACGGUUUCAUCAGCCUUGUUUUAUGAAGGUUGAAAAUUUCUCAUUCUGUUUGGAAACAGUCAUUUGUUCCACGCUAAAAGCAAUGCCAGUUCUGUUAAAAACAAAUUGUCCUCUUUUUGUUCCAAUGAAUAACAGAAAAGGCUUGAUAGUGCCAUCGAUCAGGACUUGAAUCAUUAAGGAGUCCCAAUGAUCAUUUCAUUAUAAAAGUUAACAAUCUGCAACCCAAGUCUGAAAUGCAACUUGUAGAAAAUCUUAGAGAGAAAUAAACAAACUGGAGUUAUAACUGACUAUGUACUUUAAUAUAAGAGGAAUAUUCAGCAGACAUGGAUCAGUGUCACCACUCUUGGAAGAGGGUCAAAGUGAACGGCACACGAACACAGUCUGAGCAGUCUGACACAGACUGAACAGUCACUGUAUGACUGGAGGGAUAAGUCUAGAGUCUGGGUGGUUGAGCUCACUCCUGUUCACUCCCUUCACUUCCCUUCCUAAUUAUUUGAAGCUAUAAUUGCAGAUAAAAUACUGAAGCAAUAAAGUUCACUGAGUCAAGGUACAUGGUGCCACAAGCAUAACAUUUAAUCAUCGUAUUAGUAUUUUCAUCCCUAACCUAUAGAAAUUUCCACUUCACAGCUCCCCCUGAAUAACCAUGAACGUUUUCUAUAUCGCAGACUGUCUUCACAGCAUACCAUUUAUCACUUCGUCUAUUAUCUUCAGUGUGUUUCAUUAAAAACUCAUCACUGAAGUUUUAAUGAAUUUUAUAACUUUACACAUAAAAGAUCAUCCUGGAAUUAACUUUUUAUUUCUGUGCAACACUUAAAGCAAAUUAUAUGAUAGCAGCUGUGUAAGAUACCCCCUAACACACUGCAGCUAUCAGGAAUGUAACUUACAUUUUGCAGAGUUAAAAGUCUGCUUUUGGGUCUUGCUGUUACCAUGACAACACAGACAUCUAAUUUCUUUGAACCCUUCAUUACCAUAUGAACUCUAAAUGCAGAGUUCACUCAUUAAUCAGCGACUGCCCUGGUUUUUUAAAUAACAUUUCAGCAGAGACAUAGUUAACCUCAAGCCAUAGUGAGGUUCAGUAAUGCUUUCAGUUUGUCUAAAUGCUUCAGAACAUUAUGAAAAAAAUAAAACCUAUGUCCUUCUACAUGUUCAAAUGAAUACUCAUAUGUGGACUCCCAAGCACAGGGACCUUGCCUCUAACCACACCGUAAUGUUCAAAGCGUUGAACUCAUUGAUUCAAGCAGAGUUUACAUGUUGUAUGUAUCGUGAUUCAGUCUGGAGUAAUUAUUGAUCAUGGUCUUUGUUUAAUAUGUUGACAGUAUAUUACAUAAUUACAUGUCUGCUGUUAAUUUCAGAUUGAACUCUUUAACCCCCCUUAAUGUCUCGUUGAAUAAACCUCAGCUGUUUUGUGCCCAGAGUCAAUAUAAAGCUGCCUGUUGGUAUGUGCGUAUAUGUGGGCGGUUAUAUGGUAUGUCUCUGAGGCUACAUUCAAAUAGAAGUUGAACAAGAUCUGCUAAUCCGUUUCUUCCAUCCAGGCUGUUCUUGUUCACAAUGAAUCCGUAGAUGUUUAUAAAAAAAAAAGUCUUUCAUUUUCAUCUGCUAAAAGGAGUUGUCAUUCUUAAAAAUUCUUAAAAUCUUACAAUUGUCUCAUAUUUACUGGCAUAAUAAUCAUCAUCAUUAUAUUCAGUAGCACCAGCAUGCUCAUUCAUGCGAAUACAAUUCUUUUAAAUACAUGGUAAACUGUUCAUAAAUAAAAAAAAUAAAAUAAAAAAUUGUAAUGCUUUUUCCCAAAUUUACAUUCAUACAACAAAUAAUCGUGUCUACUCAAAGCUAUAAAUAAACCUCUGCUUAAUUAACACAUAAUUAUACACAUAUUAAGUUUAUGUGCAUCACAUUUUAGUUUAGAUUUCAGAGACCCUGUCUACCUGAAGUCCCAGUAGUCUGACAUUAACACAGAUAGUAAUAAGAUUUUGAACACUUUAGAAAAUUUAGUCCGUAACCAUGAUGCUGCUGCUGACAUCCCGUUAAAGUGUGCUACCUACAUUAGUUUUCCACUGAAAUGCCGACACUGAUUGUUUAAUCAUAAUGCUGUCAAUGUAGACACUCAGAAAUAUACUGGAGAGAGAAAGCUGGCCCCUAUACUGCUUGCAAAAGCAGAAACUAUGCCGGAGUCAUGCAAAACUCUACGGUUCCAAGAGUUUCGAUUGCUUCUUUAACUAUGAACCACCUCAAUGAAUUCAUGUAACUUACCAAGAUACAGUGAAUUUCUAGUUAGUUGUCAAAGUGGAUGGUGACUGCAGUGGCCCUGAUGAUUCCCUCCAGGACAAAAAAACUCAGCAAAUUCACAAACACAUGCCGAAGUCUGCAGCAAAAUGCACAGUGAAUGAAAAAUGCAUCGUAAAAAGCUGUAAAGAAAGAAUGAUGUGAAAGUCAAAACUACACCAAAAAGAAAACAGUAAGUCAUCACAGCAGAAGCUUCGAGCAAAUUGAGGUGCUCAGUGGAAGAGCUGUGAUACCAGAGAGCGAGACAAGGGCUCCCUCUGACCCCCUGACCUGCAAAUAGUUUCCCUCUCUGUUAUGAUCUUCCAAUUUGUUAAAAGUGCCCUAAGGAGAUGAGGAAGGAGGAGAGAGGAAGGUCCUGGAAGAGCUCAGAGCGAGGACACACUGGUUUAUGUAUUCUCAAUGGAAGUCUUUUGACCAAAAACACAAUAUAAUUGGUGCCUGUGCAGCAUGCCUCUGCGCAGAUCAUUAUUUAUGUUUUUACUCCUCACACUGCGCUGAUCAGAGACAACGACUAAGACAUAGUGGCUGCUCAAUGCAUAAACACACUCAAACAGACAGCAGGACAUUUUAAUCACAGAUGGUAGUGGCAUUAAAGGAAGAAAAAAAUGCUUUGACUUCAUUUAACACCAAAAUGGACAGAAAUUUACACAGCUUGAAGAUUCAAACUUUUUUCCCCUAAUGAGAAGUCCCCUGGUUGUUUGUACCUGUGGGUGUGUGUUAGGCGGCUGUGCAGCUUAUCAUCGCUUCUUAAUUCUCCAAUCUUACACUGUGAGGGGAAAGCAAAUAUGUCUCCUCUGUCCUUCUGUCCUCUGUAUAACCCUUGUGUCACUCUUUCAACUCCUCGACGGGAGUUGAAAGAAAGGACACAAACGGAGGACCUGAGGGGACAAAUAAAUGAACUGAAAGAAGAGGAACUGAUUUAACUAAAUAUGAGACCGUAAACUGACAAAAGGACCAUAACCCACUCACUGAUUUGAACAAAAAACUCUACUUCAUCACGUUAAAAGCCCCAUAAUCUUAGCUGAGAAAUGAUUCCUGAUGGACAGGUAGUUUUGCUGAAAUAACUCUUUGUAAGUGUAGCCUUAGCUAACAAUAAAUAUCAGGUAGCCGUGCUGCUAAUAGUGUGAUUAAAUGGGCUACAUGCUACAAGAUGAACUCUCUGAAUUCAAGCCUGAUUCCCCAAUCCUCAAUCAGGCCCAAUCAUCAGAGAAAAUCUUGCCAGAUUAUUCUGUGGUGUUAGCUGUGUGAUUUUCUCUCCCCUGAUCUUGCAGGAAAUGAUUUGCUUAAAAUUAUAUGUGUCAAACAUGGUCAAUUUCAGUGAUCAGAAAUGGUUGCUGGUGUAAAAAUGUCUUUCUCUGUGGUCUGCUGCUUUUACCACAUCAUCGCACACUACAGGCACAAACCUGUUCAAUCUGUCAUCAUUCCUCAACAUCCGUGUGAUCUCUGAUAUUCUUAAAAAUAGUCAAGAUCUUAAAAAGCUUUCUUGUGCACUGGGCUUUAGCUGACUCUGUGUUGGCGCUCUGAGAACAGGGGAUUGUUGUUGUUUACUCCUCAAGCUGCCACAGCUGGGACUUGCAUUUUUAAUGUAUCGGCAGUGUGUUUGCUGGAAAUGCAUGCGCUUUGUGUUUUUUUUUUUCAGCAAAUUUUAUCAUCUGCAGUGGACACAAAAGUGUGUCUUGUUUUUAUUUACAGUGCUCUGACUUUGUAUUUCUUCUGGUGGAAAUUUAGCAUUCCAGCUGACUUGCAGUUUUCUGCAUAUAUUGCAUAGUCUAAAUAGAAAACGCUCAUAAAAAGUUUUUUAUUUUUUAUUAUUUUUUUUUUUUACUGCACGCUUAGUCUUUUUUGUCUGACACCAGCUCAUCCUUCUGCCAUAUCUCCUUCCUUGAAGAGGAAACAACAUCCAGGACUUGGUUGCAGAUGGCUAAUCUCAUGAAGCUUCGACAAGCCCCGGAUUUACUGUUCAGUUGGCCUCUCCUGAUCUAUGUGCGAAGGAUGGAUAAAAGCAUGGCCCCUGGCAGGGUUUAUCAAUGUUAAUGGGGUUGGCUGCACAGAAUUAUCACCUACCAGAGGUGUGAUGGUGUGAUGGUUGCAGCAGCAGGGGAGACUUUCUCUCAAAUCUUCAUCAACCAAAGGAUACUUGGUGUCCAAAUUGAUUCUCUGCAGUAAGACAGUGCUUACAGAUUUGCCACAAUGUUUUUGGCAGUACUGUGGUGUACUGUGGAGCUGACCAGACUGUGCUCGGUUAGUGUGAGCAAGAGGAGUGGAGACAGAUUAUCUGCGAAUCAAUGAGUAGGGCUCAGAGGAGGAAUGACCUGUUUAUACAAGCUAAUGGCUCCCAGAGCACUGCCAGAGCAUGUAAUGGUUCCUACUAAUGUUUUCUCACAUCGUUUAAGAUCCCUUUCCUUCUCUUUGUGACAAUUGCUCUCUCCCGAAGGAAUCUUUGAUCCCAGGCAAUAAAACCAUUGCUUCUUUAUAUCCUGUUUAUCCUGAAUUGGCUCUGGUGUUAUUACCUUGAGGUAACCAGAGUCACACAUGGGAUAACUGAUGGGAAAAAAAAUACAGUAUUAAAGUAUGAUUUCAUUAGUUUGGAGUCAGCUGAAAUGGGGAUUGUUGUCUUUUUCAUUUGGAAGAUCCUUUUCUAUUUAUAGAAGGAGCAGGCCUUGUCUGUGGAGUCUGCCAUGCUGCACAUUAGGGCAGGGUGAUAAACCGAACAUUUACCGAUUCCGAAUUAAUAGAUAAAUAAACAAAUAAAAGUUGGUUUUGGAUGUGUGUAGGUAGGCUAUAGUCUCGUGUCCCUUUUAGAUGCUGUCCUACAUCAGAGACGUGACUCCACCCCAACCAGUCUGUAACAAAGAGGAAAAGACAGGUGAGGAGAUGGAGGACGGAUCAAAAGUUGUAGAGACUGGAGUAGUGGCUGAAGUAGACAAAGUUAAUGUGGAAGGGGGUGAGAAGCUUGUGGAGUAGUUAUCGUCCAUUUAUCGUGAUUGAGGUGAACUGCUCAAUAUAUUGUGAUAUUGAUUUGAGACCAGAUCACCCAGCCCUACUGCACAUGUUACUGCAGUAUCCUAGAAUGGACAAACCAAACACUGGAGCUCUUGACUUUUGUGGUCACAGUUAAUUGCUCUUCGACCUGAUCAAUAAAGCACUAAAAAAAGUCCUACUUACUCAUCCUUAAAGAGGUGGUUCAGUUUCUUUACGGCAGGCUUGUAUGAGGCACCUGUCAAUCAGAAUUUUAUUACCCGUAAACAAUCCCUGUCCCCUCAGGCCUUAAUUUAAAGAAACUCACACCAAAAUACAAAAGCUAUUUACGCAAGCCUUGGACACCACAGGAUACCUUGAGGAGGACACUAAGGUAGAGAGAGGGGAGGGACUUGUUUUAACGAGAGAGAUCACAUGUUAACAGGUGGAGGAGGCGUAUAGACUGUUAAAUUGUGUGAAUGGAUGAUACGCACAAAUGACUUGAACUCAUGACACAUUCAGCACUCUGCUUGCUUUAUUCAUUUAUUCCAAGAAGUUGAAAAUCUGAAUUUAAGCAAAUCACUCCCACCAAAAUAGCCAAUCAGCAUGAAAAUCCCCUGGUGAUGUAUGUGGGCAAUUCAUUUGGAGUAUGAGGCUGCCUGGGCUGGAGGAUACGAUUUGAUUUUGAUAUUUAAACAGGAAUGAAAAGCAGCUCCCUUGGAGGACAGUGUCUGAGGAAGUCAGAUUAUUCAGUAAAUUUGAAAACACAACCAUGUUAGAUGUAAAAUAACUGAAAUUGCAUUAAGGAAACCCCUCCUCUUUUGCUUUGAUUCAUGUGUUUGGGCACCUCUGUUGACAUGAUGUGGAGCCUGUCACCCAAGCACUUCAAGAGAGUAAAGAUAAAUAAAUAAAUCACUCAGACGGUUAAAUAUGUAUUAAUUUUGCAACUUUAUAAUAUUAUACAUGUUGAGUGUGAACACAACAUUAGCUUAGAGAGACACUGCUGUCAUAAGCAGGAUUGUAAAACUGUAACAACAGUUUUUCAGGGCCUUUCUGAGUCAGGGGUCACCAGAAGCUCACAUACAUAUGCAGCCUGAUUUACUCGUUAUAGUUCCCUAUAGUACUACAUGGAGAGUAAAUGGGAAUACCUCGAAUUCAUCUUUGUUUUGAAUGACAUUUUUGUAAUUGUAUGAAAACCAGAAGUCUGCACAAUGAGUCUCAGUCAUGAAACAUUAGUGUGUGACUUGUUUGUAAAAGAAAAUUUCUAUGUCUUUUAGCAUUCAGUAAUACUGGAAGAACUCAAAUCUUUAGUUUUAUGUAGAGACCAGGCAGUUUAUCCAUUUGAGACAGAGGUUGAAACUGUUGUUAUGAUUUUGCUGACCCUCACUGUUAAAGCAGCGGGCAACAACUCAGACUAUCACAGAGUACACCAACAGUAUAUAAAGGUCAGUAUCACAGAAGAAAAUAAAACCUGCAGAAGCAAAUUUAUUCACCUUUAACCCACCAGAAUCCACACUGUGUUAGCUGUGAAAAAGGGGAAAACUGACAUGAAAUGAUAAACUCCGCAGUCAUCAUUGCCAGACUGAUAGUGUUAAACAUUUCUUGCUUUAAACUAUAUCAAACUAAGAUGUAAAAAUCCAGUCCAAUCCGCUUCAGUUGUAAAGCACAGUGCUGUACAGCAAUAUGGAAAGCAGAAAAAGACACAUAAAUUCAGAGAGAUCACAUAUCUCUCAUGCCGGGUAAAAAAGCCAAGGAGUAAAUGUUGAGUUUUGAGAUUUAAAGGUGUGGAGGGUCAGGGACAUUUAAUGUAGGAGGGUAACUUAUUCCACGGUUUAGGGGUCAGAGCAGAGAAGGCACAGUCACCCCUGACUUUCAGUCUAGUUUAACGGACCAUGAGAAGGAGCUGAUCAGCAGACAUAUCAGACCUUGAGGGAAUGCAGACUUAGAGAGGUCAGGGAUGUCAAAAUUCACAAUAUACAAGUGUACUGUAAAAGUCAAGAUGACUCAUGCAUUAAAGGCAGAUUUGCAGACUGCAUGCCAAAGAGCACCAAGUGUUUCAUCUGUGAGGAAUGCUAAAACAAAGCAGCUUUCUGUUGGCAAAAUUAAGGGCUGAAUGCUUUCUAUUGAAGUGAGCACUCUAAAGUGACGUAAGUGUUUGGGUCAAAAUAUCUUAAAAUGAGCUUAAUUAGAAGAUAACUCUGAUCUAUCCUGCAGUGGUCGAACCAGACCUCCUGUGGUUAAUACACUUACUAUUUAUGUGGACCCACUACAACCCAACAUAAUUUUAAAGGAAUAAUUAAAGACAUUCAUGUAAUUAGGAGCAAGGCUAUUGCUGCUUUAUUUAUCAUUAUUUAGUUGACAUUGUAGGCUGGUAUGUGAAUUAGAGUGAGGUAAGUGCAUGUAUUUGCGUCAUCUGCAGAAUGAGCCACCUAAAGGACAAAGCAGCUGAGUGCUGAAUAGUCAUGGGCAAACAAGCUUUUAAAUCUUGCUCUUAUAUAAAUAGAUUAUAUGCUUCAUGUAUGCAAAGCAGAGGCCGUGGCAUUUAGUUUGAAAGAUCAACACACAUGGAUGUCCCGGUGACACAGCUGAAGAGCACAGGAGAUGAAGCCGUCUUUAUGAAUGUGUGGAAACUGAGAUUUUCUUUCUCUUGAACAUUUUCAUGAAGUAUUUCAUGAUGGCUGUGCCUAUGUAAAUGAAGCAUGAGGAGAGCUUAAUGGAAAGGCAGACCAUGGUGUCAGAUCCAGAUGGUUUCAACAGAGUUGUUGGGAUGAAUAAUUCAGACAGAGAGCACAUCUUCUGAGCAUGCUGGAAGCAUGAGUCUCAACCCAGACAGCAGAUUGUUCCAUCUCAUGGACAAUCUUUUGUUGUUGUUGAAAAUAUGCCUUUUCAAGUGUGAACAACAGAAACAGUAAGAGGUCUUUGUAUAUCAUCAGCGAAAAAGGAACGUUUUCUUAAAAUCCAUGCAGAAACCCUCCCUGCUGGUUUGAAGCUGCUGAACUUGGUGAGGAUGAAGUAGUUAUUUAAUAGUAAAUACAGAGACAUCGUUUUUAACAUGGCUCAAUUAUGUUCCUAUGAUGACACGUGUCAAAAUGAUGUAUUGUAGCAACAUUUUCUUUCCUAAGGAGAGACACAGUUGCACCGUUUGCCAUGGUUAUUUGCAUCUUAACAGGUUCCACCGCCCUUCUGACUAACACUGUUAUCACACAAUAACAUUGUGCUUCACAGCCUCACUCCAAACAGCCUAUUUCUUAAUUAGCUUACUUGUGUGUUGCUAAGCAAUCUCAACAGCAGCAGCAGAUAGAAGCCAGAAAAUAAUCAUAUUUAAUUGAUAAACAUGCCUCAGUGACAGACAGUUUUCGCCACAGAAGAUGUCAGCUUUUCCUCCAAGAUAUCCAAAGCAUGCAGGCUGGGAGCAUUACUCCUGGCUUGGAAAUGCAUUUCUAUAAAUGUAUUGUAUCAUAUAGACAAUAAGAGGGAAAGCCAUUCGCAGCAUUGUGGAGAUAACAGCUGCAAAGAGACCAGUUCACCGUAUCGCUCAGGCCCACAUGGACCAUUUCUGCGUUGAUGGAGUAGAUUUUGCACCCUGAUGGAAUUUGUGGAUUCAUCAGGUUUUCACCCUCUUGUGGUUUGUUCCAGUUAGAACCAGGUACUGCGUCUAAGCUCAGGCCAUCCCCUGCUGUUCUGCACGACUGGCACCCGUAUUUAACACUUGGUGAGCAGAAUAGUGAUCAAUCCCUCCACCUCAGAAUGGAAACAGACAGCCAUAACCAGAGACAUAAGAGCUAUAGAGGUACUCGCCGCACUGUUACCACGGCAACAGGCCUUGCGGGGGGGGUAUCAUCACCGGCACUCUUAGAUUGGCUGGUUGUGGUUUGGUGCAAUGGUUCAGUUUAGUUGGCUGUUUCUGCCCUUAGAGAGACAUGGAAAGUGGUUCUCUGGUUUUUCAAUCUACCUUAAUCUGGUGGAGUCUGGUGGAGAGAUUUACCAGACGGUGGAGUUGACAGCUGAAGUCCUGAGUUCAUCACAUGUAGCCUGUAAAACUAAAACGUGUGAUUCAAUUACAUGAUACCAGUUCAGGAUUGAUUAGCCUGUUCAGGAUGUGUAUUACCAAUCUCUUGAGCCUGUGGUCCAUUUUUUUUCUCACAUUUGUUAGAAGGUUGUACAAAAAUCAGAUUUGAAGUACAUUUAUUAUUAAGUCUGAGGAGAGAAAAUCUAAUUUACAGACAUCCCUAGCAAAUUCUAAUUUUACAGCCACUCCACAGCAUCAUGAUGAAAACAUAAAAUAUUUAUAACUCUAUCAUGUCUCGCAUACAGUUGUAUGUUUUUCUAAUUGUAUCACAGUCAUGUCUGGAGCAUCCAGCCGGUGAAACUCCACCACACUGAACCCAGGGGACACUCAUGCAAUAUACACAUCCAGCCUCACAGAUUCCAUCCGACUGAUUUAGUAUUGCUGACUGUCCCAAGGUAGGCACUGUAUGUUCAAUAUAACACGGGUCCAGAAAACAUACAUAAUGCAGAGCAUGUAAGUACACACAUUAACACAAAAAGAUGAAUGCUGGCGCACACACCCAUACACACAGCAGUGAACCUUAGCCUGGCUCGACUCCCAUGAGUCUCCUCACAGAGCCCAUCAGCCAGACGCAGACUCUCAGGGAGGAUGGUAACUGCAUCGUUCAUCUAGUAACCGCCCUCAGGAUGAGGACAUCACUCAGAGAUGAUCAAUCAAUAACAGGCUGCUACACACAAAACCUUUUAACAUGAUUAUCUGCUGCUCACCAAUGCUUACUACAAACAAGAGGCAGCUAUAUAGACUGAACGACUUUAACUCCUCUAUUUAAUAGUUUGCAAUAAAUGCAACCAUUACCUGGCUGCCUUACUAACCAGACUGUGUUGAACACAAGAUUGGUUGCAACUCCAUAACAAUGGUUUUUAAACCUCAACUAUGAAGGUGAUGCCCAGAACAUUCAGAUCAUGCUUGUUGUAUCAAAUCACAGGUAGCAAGAACUUUUUAUCUGCCUGUUGACACUGUCAGUUUCUGUUUGUAUUCUAGUUCUGUAGAUGAAAUGACGUGGAGGAUAUUCACGGAAAUCAAUGUAAUCAAUCCAAUAAUGAGACUGAACGUGCUUUUUGUAUGAAAGUGUAUUAAAGUGUCAGAAACAGACAGCAAAAUGGCACAGAACAACACUCCUUUAACACUAUCACUUUCAUUGUGCAUCUCAAGAACUAUCAUCCUGAUCAGCACCAAGAGUUUCUGAAAAAUAAGAACCAGAACGCAAAAACCUGUCAGCAGUCUUCACUUCAGUCAUUUAACAAUGCAAGAAAAACAGCAACCACCUAAAAUAGUACAAUCCAAUACAAGAAGUUUAUUGAUCCCUAAAGGCAAAUUUGUUUGUCUAGAAUCUCAUCUCAUUGAAGAGUCAAGAAAUUGAUUGCUUUGGGUACAAAAGCUCUUCUAAAUCUCUUCGCCUCGCAGUGAAGACAGAGGAGCCGUCCACCGCUGUUGCUUUUUUGGUCCAUCAAGGUGUUAUGAAGUGGAUGAUCCGUGUUUUGUAGAGUGGCUUCUACCUUCCUCAGUGUGCAUCUCUCCACCACAUCCUCCAAUGAGUCCGACUCGAUCCUAAUCCAAUGAAACUUGAAACCGAACGUAGAACUUCAGCUUUUGCCCUGGGUGGGAUGUAUACAAGUAUUGUUAUGAUAUGACUGAAUUCUCUUGGAACGUAAUAUGGCCAAAGUGAGGCAACUGUCAGCAGUUCAAUAUCUGGACAACACAACUUCUCCUUGACAGUUAUGUGUGAAGAGUAAUGGCUCAUAUAUGCUCAAAGUUACACACGCAUCUGAAUACGGAUGGAGCUUUCCAUCCAUGCUUUGCAUCUUUUUUGUCCGUAUUUCUGUAUGUAUCCUUGAAGUUUACGAAUACGGGCCAGACGGAGCAGUACCACCAGAAACCGUGGGGGCAGUGUUGCUGCUGUCACUACCCGGUACACAUCUCUAGAAAGAAACAAAGAGGACAAUGGUGGUAUUGCUAGAGAAAAGAAUUCUCUGUCCUCCAACCACGAGGCAUUUAGUGGCCUGAUCGACCACCGCCUCCUCCAAUGCUGCCUCCGUUUCUGUCUCCUACGUAAAUUAUACAUUAUCACUAGCUCCUCCACAGUCGCCACAUUUCUUUUUGUUUGUUGUUAGAAACUUCUGACUCCGGCCUGCCCUCUGGUGAAUGUAAUGGUUAACAUCCAUGACAAUGUAAAGGACUCAUUGAAGUAUGUGUGCAAUGUGUGUUUGAAACGAACGUGUACAUUUUCAUACAUAUGGCGAGCAUAGAUGAGCCUUUACACUAUCUCUGGUGAACAAAUAAAGCCAGACCCCCCUCCUUUCUUCUUGCCACUAGCUUCAGUAUCUCUGUCUAAAGGUAAAAGGGGCUGAAAAUAAGGGCAAAAAGUCUGAUGGCAUCCCAAUCUCUUACUUAAUCAAUUUGUCAGAUAUUAACAAGAUAAAAUACAAACUGUCAACAAUAGAUGUGCUUUUCUUCCGCUAAUUUCCUUAAGGACGCUUUGCAUGACUCCUUGAUUGUUUCAUCAAGCUGCAGCAAAUCUAAUCCUCUAAUAUCAGCUCUAUUGUUUCCUCAUAUUAAUGCUAAUUGUUGUCUGUCUCGUACGGUGCACCAUCACCAAACAUGGAACACCAGAUAGUCUGUACAAGAUUAUGUUUGUACUAAUUUUGGUUAUUUUUCUUGCUGAGUGAUUCAGGAGGCAAUAAUAAUUAGCUGAGCAAGCACAUCCCCCACUAUGCCUCCGGCUGAAUGAAACAGAGAGCGACUAAGCAUUACAAAACGCUCCCAUCCUUUCAAACGCAAAUUAAAAUAACAUCUACGCAUCAAGGAAUACUUCUUCUCUGCAGCUAUGAUGAAGCAACAGCAACAUAUGAAACCUAUCAAACUGUCUCAUAAAUCAUAUAAGGAAAAUUAAGUUAUGCUCUGGAAUGUAUAUUCUUUGACCAACAGGUGUUAUAUACAAUCUGAGGGCUGGAUCCCGCUCUGUAUUAGUGCACAGCAGCUAUAGUGCAGGUGAUUACAAAGAUAGAUUGUAGACUUGAAGCAGAAGAUCUAUUAAAAGAUGGAGUUGCCUGGCAUCAAUCCCAGGCUUAUUUCUGUAUCUGGAGGCUUACAGCAUGGGCCUGGACUUAAUGUGCUAAAUACAAUAGCCUAAAUUACUUUGGCUUCAGAGGGUAAUUGACUGAUUAGCACAGAGAGUAACAAUCAUCCAAACUGUGUCCUGGUUUUGUAAAUAUGCCAAUUGAAUUACUCUCUGCCCACCACAUUUAUUUCUUGAACCGGAGCAAGAAGCGGUGAGUGUUUUUCUCUCUUACUUUCACAAAAUCCUUUUUAUAGCAGCGGACGUCCCUGGAGCGGCGGCAGGUUUAGCAGGUGUUAACCUCUCUCUGGGAGGCUCCCUCCUGAGGCAACACACAGUCUAGCAGAGCAACACUUCUCAUUCCCCGAGCAGCUUGCAGUCUGCCAAUCACAUAAAGGUGGAGAUGAUGGACAGGCGAAUGAGUCUCCCUUAGUCCCUAAGUAAUAUUACUUUCUGUUCCUUUUCAGCACACCACAAAGACAAACUUCAACGUCUUCUUAUGACAGCUCCACAACAACUUUUCAUUAACUUUCUUUUCAUUUUCUAGUUAUGUUUACAAUGUCUGAUGUAAUCCAUCUGUAUUGAUUAACUAGAUUCAUUGUUGGAUCACAUUCCUGUUACCAAUAAACAGACUGCAGCUUUAUUCUAUCGUUGUUACAGACAUGAAACUGUAUGUUACUAGCGCCCUGCAGAGGUUUUGUUCCAAUCACAUUUUGCACUUUAUUGUAAUUGUUAUUCCUACAGCAGAUAGACCUCCUUGUGGCUUUAAAGGGACCACUUUCCUUUGGGGCUCCUUGUUACUCUGCCGGAGCAGCAGAUAGUAUUGAUCCUGUUUGUCAGAUAUAAAGCUUGAUUUACUUGCAUGGUUCUGAUUUGUGUUGCUGUUGUUGUUUUGUGUACUCCCUUGGAUAUAGUUUAUUCACAAGUACAGUUGACUGUCGG